Molecule: ribosomal RNA, 500 nt
Filed under: uncultured bacterium
Lineage: Bacteria
Description: bacterial SSU rRNA
Rfam family: Bacterial small subunit ribosomal RNA
Source: RNAcentral
GACGAACGCUGGCGGCGUGCCUAACACAUGCAAGUCGAACGGUCCGGCGCUCAACCGACCCUCAGUCUAACUGUAGGGGAAGUUGAGUGCCGGGUAGUGGCGGACGGGUGAGUAACGCGUGGGCAACCAACCCUGUACAGUGGGAUAACACCGGGAAACCGGUGCUAAUACCGCAUGACACCUAUAUGGUGCAUACCGUAUAGGUUAAAGGAUUUAACCGGUACAGGACGGGCCCGCGUCCCAUUAGCUAGUUGGUGAGGUAACGGCCCACCAAGGCGACGAUGGGUAGCCGACCUGAGAGGGUGACCGGCCACACUGGGACUGAGACACGGCCCAGACUCCUACGGGAGGCAGCAGUGGGGAAUAUUGCGCAAUGGGGGGAACCCUGACGCAGCGACGCCGCGUGAGCGACGAAGGCCUUCGGGUCGUAAAGCUCUGUUCUUGGGGUACGAAGGGAAAUAGACGGUACCCAAGGAGAAAGACCCCGGCGUAACUACGUG